AUCGCUUCUCUGCUUUUUGGCUAAGAUCAAGUGUAGUAUCUGUUCUUAUCAGUUUAAUAAUUAGAUUUAAGUCAUGUCUUUUCUCCAGGCAUUUACUUGGCAACCCAUUACUCCUAAUUUCAACUACCAAAUUUACUUAACAUUUUAAUUUACUGAUCAAGUGAUCUCUUGAUCAGCAGUCUCUUUGAUCAGUGGUCU
RNAcentral lists this small nuclear RNA (198 nucleotides) under Laticauda laticaudata (blue-ringed sea krait). RNAcentral describes it as "U2 spliceosomal RNA (ENSLLTG00000017535.1)". The stretch from base 1 to 109 matches the Rfam family "U2 spliceosomal RNA". Rfam says of the family: U2 is a small nuclear RNA (snRNA) component of the spliceosome (involved in pre-mRNA splicing). Complementary binding between U2 snRNA (in an area lying towards the 5' end but 3' to hairpin I) and the branchpoint sequence (BPS) of the intron results the bulging out of an unpaired adenosine, on the BPS, which initiates a nucleophilic attack at the intronic 5' splice site, thus starting the first of two transesterification reactions that mediate splicing. The record is from Rfam by way of RNAcentral. Lineage: Eukaryota; Metazoa; Chordata; Lepidosauria; Squamata; Elapidae.